Oncorhynchus mykiss (rainbow trout) is the source of this 857-nucleotide non-coding RNA. The record is from RefSeq and is a predicted model, not a curated record. Lineage: Eukaryota; Metazoa; Chordata; Actinopteri; Salmoniformes; Salmonidae.
UGCCCACAGAACUGCCGCUCACUGAAUGUGUUUUGUUUAUCGCACCAUUCUCUGUAAACUCUAGAGACUGUGGUGCGUAAAAAUCCCAGGAAGGCAGCUGUUUCUGAGAUCCUGGAAUCACCAUGUGUGGCAUCAACAAUCAUACCACGGUCAGUUGCUUAGAUUACGCAUCUUGCCCGUUCUAAUGUUUGGUCAAACAACAUAUAAAGCUCUCUACUCAAUAUACUCUAUAUAUUGAGUUGCAGGCAGCCACAUGAUUCACUGUUCGAAUUUAACGUUCCUUGAUGAGCUAAAUCAGGUCUGUAGAGCUGAAGGUAUGACCUAUGUCAUUGUGUGGGAUAAUGUCAGGUUCCACCAUGCUCAAAUGGUGCAAGCAUGGUUUCAGGCCCAUGCACAAUUUACCACCCUGUACUUACCCCCAUACUCUCCUUUCCUUAACCCGAUUGAGGAAUUUUUCUACACAUGGAUGUGGUAGGUUUAUGAUAGACGCCCUCACAAACAAGCCACCCUUCUCCAGGCCAUGGAUGACGCAUGCAAUGACAUCACAGAAGACCAGUGUCAGGCCUGGAUUCGCCAUGCCCGAAGAUUCUUCCCAAGAUGUUUGGCUAAUGAAAACAUUCAUUGUGAUGUGGAUGAGAACCUGUGGCCAAAUCCACAAGACAAGGUUGAUGGAAAUAUAGAAGUACAGUAAUCAAUAUUUUGUUUUGCUUUUUACAGUAAACCAGGUGAGGAACACUGCAGUUGACGUUUAACUGUUUUUUCUUUUUUGUAGCAAAUUAUUUUGGCUUUGAUUCAAAUAAACCUAUGUUGGGAUUUUAUUGUAUUUCAUCAAUAAAUGUCAUAUUUUGUUCAGUGUC